CCCAGACAGCCAGGAUGUUGGCUUAGAAGCAGCCAUCAUUUAAAGAAAGCGUAAUAGCUCACUGGUCGAGUCGGCCUGCGCGGAAGAUGUAACGGGGCUAAACCAUGCACCGAAGCUGCGGCAGCGAACGUAUCACUUAAAGCGAUUCAGCGGGUUACGAUUGACGGAGCGAAGCGACGUCAAAGCGUAUACAAAGUCGAGUCGGUUUAAGGAUACGUUCGUUGGGUAGGGGAGCGUUCUGUAAGCCCGUGAAGGUGGCCUGUGAGGGUUGCUGGAGGUAUCAGAAGUGCGAAUGCUGACAUAAGUAACGAUAAAGCGGGUGAAAAGCCCGCUCGCCGGAAGACCAAGGGUUCCUGUCCAACGUUAAUCGGGGCA
This 375-nucleotide ribosomal RNA is filed under the name Salmonella enterica subsp. enterica serovar Saintpaul. Its description in RNAcentral is "partial 23S ribosomal RNA". It matches the Rfam family "Bacterial large subunit ribosomal RNA", at positions 1084 to 1376 of the family's 2925-position model. Lineage: Bacteria; Pseudomonadati; Pseudomonadota; Gammaproteobacteria; Enterobacterales; Enterobacteriaceae. The record is from RNAcentral.